UGGGGAAUAUUGGACAAUGGGCGAAAGCCUGAUCCAGCCAUGCCGCGUGCGCGAUGAAGGCCCUAGGGUUGUAAAGCUCUUUUGUGCGGGAAGAUAAUGACGGUACCGCAAGAAUAAGCCCCGGCUAACUUCGUGCCAGCAGCCGCGGUAAUACGAAGGGGGCUAGCGUUGUUCGGAAUCACUGGGCGUAAAGCGCACGUAGGCGGACUUUCAAGUCAGGGGUGAAAUCCCGGGGCUCAACCUCGGAACUGCCUUUGAUACUGUUGGUCUCGAGUCCGGAAGAGGGGGGUGGAAUUCCUAGUGUAGAGGUGAAAUUCGUAGAUAUUAGGAAGAACACCGGUGGCGAAGGCGGCCCACUGAUCCGGUACUGACGCUGAGGUGCGAAAGCGUG
Molecule: ribosomal RNA, 391 nt
Filed under: uncultured bacterium
Lineage: Bacteria
Description: bacterial SSU rRNA
Rfam family: Bacterial small subunit ribosomal RNA
Source: RNAcentral